UAGGCUUGAGUGUGCUAGACUGUUUAUCUAGACCAGCCCAGCUCUUCAGAGCAACGUUGAAUCUCUGGGAAGAGAGAGCAUGGGGCGUGCUGAUUUAAAAACAGAAAAUGCAAAGUUGGACUGAAAAUAUCCUUAGUCUUCCAAGCAAUCUGCUUAAGGGUUCCAAACUUACCUUAAUUUGGUGAGAAAAGAAGCUGCCCUAUUUUUCUUUCUUCUACAACUGGAACCAGCCAUUUCCCAAAACCACCACCAUG
Molecule: non-coding RNA, 254 nt
Filed under: Pteropus alecto (black flying fox)
Lineage: Eukaryota; Metazoa; Chordata; Mammalia; Chiroptera; Pteropodidae
Description: Voltage-gated potassium-channel Kv1.4 IRES
Rfam family: Voltage-gated potassium-channel Kv1.4 IRES
About the family: This family represents the Kv1.4 voltage-gated potassium-channel internal ribosome entry site (IRES). This region has been shown to mediate internal ribosome entry in cells derived from brain, heart, and skeletal muscle, tissues known to express Kv1.4 mRNA species.
Source: Rfam by way of RNAcentral